This is a non-coding RNA of Pelobates cultripes (western spadefoot toad), 115 nucleotides long. The record is from the annotation of a GenBank genome assembly. Lineage: Eukaryota; Metazoa; Chordata; Amphibia; Anura; Pelobatidae.
AACUCUAGAACAGGGGUAGGCAACCUUUGGCACCCCAGAUGUUUUGCCAGCAUUAUGGUAUAUGUAGUCCACAAAACCUGGAGUGCCAAAGGUUGCCUAACCUUGCUCUGGGUCA